This 305-nucleotide ribosomal RNA is filed under the name uncultured bacterium. RNAcentral describes it as "bacterial SSU rRNA". It matches the Rfam family "Bacterial small subunit ribosomal RNA", at positions 334 to 637 of the family's 1533-position model. The record is from RNAcentral.
CAGCCUACGGGACGCAGCAGUGAGGAAUAUUGGUCAAUGGGCUUACGCCUGAACCAGCCAAGUCGCGUGAGGGAAGACUGCCCUAUGGGUUGUAAACCUCUUUUGUCAGGGAGCAACGCCGGCUACGUGUAGCCGGGCUGAGAGUACCUGAAGAAAAAGCGUCGGCUAACUCCGUGCCAGCAGCCGCGGUAAUACGGAGGAUGCGAGCGUUAUCCGGAAUUAUUGGGUUUAAAGGGUGCGUAGGCGGAAUGCCACGUCAGCGGUAAAAUCGCGGGGCUCAACCUCGCUCCGCCGUUGAAACUGGG